GUGAGGAAUAUUGCGCAAUGGAGGCAACUCUGACGCAGCCAUGCCGCGUGCAGGAAGAAGGCGCUACGCGUUGUAAACUGCUUUUAACCGGGAAGAAACCCCAGGACGUGUCCUGGGUUGACGGUACCGGAGGAAUAAGCACCGGCUAACUUCGUGCCAGCAGCCGCGGCAAUACGAAGGGUGCAAGCGUUAUCCGGAUCCAUUGGGUUUAAAGGGUGCGUAGGCGGAGCGUUAAGUCAGUGGUGAAAUCCUGCAGCUUAACUGUAGACUUGCCAUUGAUACUGGCGCUCUUGAGUGCGCUUGAAGUGGGCGGAAUGUGCCGUGUAGCGGUGAAAUGCUUAGAUAUGGCACAGAACACCAAUUGCGAAGGCAGCUCACUAAGGCGAUACUGACGCUGAGGCACGAAAGCGUGGGGAUCGAACAGGAUUAGAAACCCCGGUAGUCC
Molecule: ribosomal RNA, 445 nt
Filed under: uncultured bacterium
Lineage: Bacteria
Description: partial 16S ribosomal RNA
Rfam family: Bacterial small subunit ribosomal RNA
Source: RNAcentral